Molecule: transfer RNA, 88 nt
Filed under: Thermogemmatispora aurantia
Lineage: Bacteria; Bacillati; Chloroflexota; Ktedonobacteria; Thermogemmatisporales; Thermogemmatisporaceae
Description: tRNA-Ser
Rfam family: tRNA
About the family: Transfer RNA (tRNA) molecules are approximately 80 nucleotides in length. Their secondary structure includes four short double-helical elements and three loops (D, anti-codon, and T loops).
Source: RNAcentral
CGGAGGGGUGGCAGAGCGGUCGAAUGCAGCCGUCUUGAAAACGGCCGGGCGAUGAGCCCCGGGGGUUCGAAUCCCCCCCCCUCCGCCC